Molecule: long non-coding RNA, 789 nt
Filed under: Vulpes vulpes (red fox)
Lineage: Eukaryota; Metazoa; Chordata; Mammalia; Carnivora; Canidae
Description: lncRNA (ENSVVUG00000010928.1)
Source: RNAcentral
CUGAUUCUGAAGAUCUGCAGAGGAGCCCAAGAGUUUCCAUUUCUAACACGUUCCAGGUAAACUGGCAGUUGUUGGGCCUGGGACUAUAAGAACCAUUGCUUGGAGGACAGAAGGGUCCUGAGGACUGGGAUUCACAACAAAGCUUGCUGGAUGGGGAAGGAAAAGGUCAUGUCGCCAGAGCAACAGGAAGACCAUCCUGCAGAAAGAAAUAGAAGGGUAGCUAUUAUAGUGAUGAAUCCUCGUGACUCCAAAAUCAUGUGAUUAUCAUUAGAAUAGUUUGAUAACAUUAAUUUCUAGUUUUCAAGUUUUUAUCUAGUGUUUUCCAAUAUAUAGGGUGCAGCAAAAUGACCGUACAAGUUUGUUGAAAAGCCAGACACCUGGUCCUCAGCUUUGCAACUUCUAUUCAGGAAAUCUCGGAUGAAGCCCAGGAACAAGUGAAGCAGGACAUUUUUUACUUGAAGCCUACUUCAAAAUUCCAUCCAAGAAAAAUAGAAUACAAAUUUUCUCCAAGUACACACAGAAGAAUCCCCUGGUUAAAUCAGAGACGAAGGAAAGAGAUGGAUAUCUCCUCUGUAAGCUACUCUGAAAGAAAGACGUUGGCAAAAUAGCAUGUUGGAUUCCUGAAUAUUUAUGACUUCAUCAAAACUUACUGAAUUAUAACAUGACUAUUUGCCUAAGAACAUUAACCACUUAGAUUUGUAUGUUUUUUUUUUUCCUAAGAGUAGAGGAAAAGCAGAAGAAAUACUAUAAACUUAGUAGAAAUAAAAAUUGUACAUCUAGUCUGAGGCA